Molecule: ribosomal RNA, 334 nt
Filed under: uncultured eukaryote
Lineage: Eukaryota
Description: partial 18S ribosomal RNA
Rfam family: Eukaryotic small subunit ribosomal RNA
Source: RNAcentral
CCCUUAGAUGUCCGGGGCCGCACGCGCGCUACACUGAAGGAAUCAGCGUGGCUUUCUCCCUGACCCGAAAGGGUUGGGAAACCCGUUGAAUCUCCUUCGUGAUAGGGAUUGGGGCUUGAAAUUGUUCCCCAUGAACGAGGAAUUCCCAGUAAGCGCGAGUCAUAAGCUCGCGUUGAUUACGUCCCUGCCCUUUGUACACACCGCCCGUCGCUACUACCGAUUUAACGGUUUAGUGAGGGCCUCGGAUUGGUCUCGGCCCGCUCUUUACCGGGCGGCGCCGUUGGUCGAGAAGACGCUCGAACUUGAUCGUUUAGAGGAAGUAAAAGUCGUAACA